GGGGAUAUAGCUCAGUUGGUAGAGUGCUUGCCUAACAUGUAUGAGGCCCUGGAUUCAAUCCCCAGUACCA
Molecule: transfer RNA, 70 nt
Filed under: Urocitellus parryii (Arctic ground squirrel)
Lineage: Eukaryota; Metazoa; Chordata; Mammalia; Rodentia; Sciuridae
Also listed under: 1 other name
Description: Spermophilus parryii (Arctic ground squirrel) tRNA
Rfam family: tRNA
About the family: Transfer RNA (tRNA) molecules are approximately 80 nucleotides in length. Their secondary structure includes four short double-helical elements and three loops (D, anti-codon, and T loops).
Source: Rfam by way of RNAcentral